Megalobrama amblycephala (Wuchang bream) is the source of this 2045-nucleotide long non-coding RNA. RefSeq lists it as uncharacterized. NCBI's taxonomy places the organism in Eukaryota, Metazoa, Chordata, Actinopteri, Cypriniformes, Xenocyprididae. The transcript is spliced from 3 exons. The record is from RefSeq and is a predicted model, not a curated record.
UAUUUUACCAGUAUAAGAAUUAUAGUUAACUAAACCUAAAACAAACAAACAAUAAAUAAAUAAAUAAAUAAAAUAAAAUCUUCAUUACUUAAAAUAAAUGUUAAAUGAAAUAAAAUAUAUUUAAAAAGUAAACUUUUUUUCCAUCUAGUUUCCAAGCUUUAGCUUAACUUGAUGUACUAAAAUAAAACACUCCCAUUGUGCAGCUCUUCUAUCAGGAGUCGAGUCAAAAUUGAGCUUGCGCGUAUAUAAUGUGCACGGCCGGUGUGCGAUACCUGUGAGUUGUCAGAGACGCGACAUCUUGGAUGACAUGGGGGUGAGUAAAUUAUCAGCAAAAGUUUAUUUAAAAGUGCACUGUAAACGAUUUCUGUUGUUUUCACAGUAUUAUUGCUGUAUUAUCAGAGAAAGCUUACUGUAGAAACAGUUUACAGUAAGUUGCUGUCAAUUUUAUAACUUUUGCAGUAUUAUUGCUGUAUUUCCAUCUUUGUCUUACUGUAGAAACUAUUUACAGGACAGUUGCUGUCAAUUCAUGCGAUUCUUUGAAAAAAACAAUAGAGUGGGAAAAUAAUUACAGUAAUCCUUAUAUUACUGUUAAAUUGAUGACAGUAAUAAUCCAACAGACAAGGAAUUUUAUUUAUUAAUUAUAUAUUUAUUUAUAAGGAAUUUUAUAAUACAUCGUUUCAUAAGGUAACCCAUAUAUUAAGGCAUUUAGCAUAUAGUUUAAUGUUUUAUGUGGGUGUUUUUUAAUUGCGUAUCUUUAUGGUUGCCAGAUUUUGACACAAAACCAACCAAUCUCAUAGGUUAUAGCCAACAAUUUUGUGGCUGGGAGGUAGUUGUAGAGAUGUAGAUGUCAAUAAUAUAGGCUAGGUAAAUAGAUAAAAUCAAUUCCCAUGAUAUUUUUUUUAUUAUUAUUAUUUUGCUUUCUAUUAAACACACUAAUUACAUAAAGAGCGGAAUCGCACGGGAUAUACCUGGCAACCAAUCAUCUAAACCGUCAGCCCGCACUCAUUUUCCAAUUCAUUUUCUGAGCCUUUGAGGAUGAGCAAGACCAACAAGAACCAGUCAGGUGAGAUAUACAAUUUUAUUCAAUAUCUUAAAGAUGUGUAUUUGUAAAAGUUUCACCCCAAAUGGGAAGAUUUACCACUAACGUUAACCUUAAAUAAUCAGUGGUGAGAUAGUAGUUUGUAACACAAACAUUCUAACGUUAACGUUAGACAGUUAACUUUAGCCAAAUACUAAUUAUCACAAGGUUUGCUGUUAAUGUUAGUUAAUAAUUUCAAGUUUAGAACAAAGUAAUCGAAAUGUUCUUGUUUCUGAACAUUUGUGUGUAACUUACACCGUGUGCGUGUGUCCUGUUGCGAUCGAGGCCUUACGUGCCUAAGCCUAAAGCUAUGUUCGAAAUCGACCUAUUACACUAAUGUUAUGCACGACUUGAAGGGACAACCACAGUGUUUUCAGUCAUAUUAUACAUUUAUUACGUGAGUACAACCGAUGUAAGUUACACUUAAAGUGAAUACACAGGCAGUGAAAGUCGCGCCGAAUUAAUUCCCGUGUCUCGUUAGUCCUUCUUCAGACCAGACGUUCACAGGAUUUUGCUCACUCGUUUUCAUUAACUUCUUCAAGUGCACUAGUUUAUUAAUAUCUGGAUACAGCCACUGCCAACGGACUGCGGAUAAUUUAGUUGUAUAUUUGAUAUUGUUUGAUAUUCACGAUAAUGGCUAUUAUAAUCCCCGUUUUUUGUCACUUUGGGUGCUUCUCAUUUCUUCAUUCAUAAAGGGGAUGCAUUGUGAAACGAAUAUCUCUGUGUAGGUCUAUGCAGUGUUGAAUAUGUUUUUCAUUUCUUUCAGUGUGCAUGUUGUUCGACAUUGCAGCGUGCUGAUGAGUUAAUAAAGAGUGUGUAUGUUGUUCGACAUUGCAGCGUGCUGAUGAGUAUCGCUCUUUCGGUUAAUAAAGAGGCAGCAAAAACCUGGGAUCUGCAUUGGCCCUGUCAAGUCUGGAGAGUGUUUUUACAGUUUAAUGAAUUAAAUUGUAAUAAAAGUUUUUAAAUG